This 469-nucleotide ribosomal RNA is filed under the name uncultured bacterium. RNAcentral describes it as "partial 16S ribosomal RNA". It matches the Rfam family "Bacterial small subunit ribosomal RNA", at positions 28 to 507 of the family's 1533-position model. The record is from RNAcentral.
GAUGAACGCUGGCGGCGUGCUUAACACAUGCAAGUCGAACGGUGAAGCUCCAGCUUGCUGGAGUGGAUCAGUGGCGAACGGGUGAGUAACACGUGAGCAACCUGCCCCUGACUCUGGGAUAACAGCCGGAAACGGCUGCUAAUACCGGAUAUGCACCAUGAACGCAUGUUCUGUGGUGGGAAAGAUUUUUCGGUUGGGGAUGGGCUCGCGGCCUAUCAGCUUGUUGGUGAGGUAAUGGCUCACCAAGGCGUCGACGGGUAGCCGGCCUGAGAGGGUGACCGGCCACACUGGGACUGAGACACGGCCCAGACUCCUACGGGAGGCAGCAGUGGGGAAUAUUGCACAAUGGGCGAAAGCCUGAUGCAGCAACGCCGCGUGAGGAAUGACGGCCUUCGGGUUGUAAACCUCUUUUAGCAGGGAAGAAGCGAGAGUGACGGUACCUGCAGAAAAAGCGCCGGCUAACUACGUG